GUCCACGCUGUAAACGAUGUGUGCUAGACGUUGGGGGUUGCCCUCCGGUGUCGCAGCUAACGCUUUAAGCACACCGCCUGGGGAGUACGGUCGCAAGAUUAAAACUCAAAGGAAUUGACGGGGCCCGCACAAGCGGUGGAGCAUGUGGUUUAAUUCGACGCAACGCGAAGAACCUUACCAGCUCUUGACAUGGGUAGUAUGGACCUGGGCGACUGGAUCCUUCAGUUCGGCUGGCUACCACACAGGUGCUGCAUGGCUGUCGU
This 263-nucleotide ribosomal RNA is filed under the name uncultured bacterium. RNAcentral's name for it is "partial 16S ribosomal RNA". It matches the Rfam family "Bacterial small subunit ribosomal RNA", at positions 793 to 1055 of the family's 1533-position model. The record is from RNAcentral.